This 492-nucleotide ribosomal RNA is filed under the name uncultured bacterium. RNAcentral describes it as "partial 16S ribosomal RNA". It matches the Rfam family "Bacterial small subunit ribosomal RNA", at positions 29 to 507 of the family's 1533-position model. The record is from RNAcentral.
AGUGAACGCUGGCGGUAGGCCUAACACAUGCAAGUCGAACGGCAGCACAGUAAGAGCUUGCUCUUACGGGUGGCGAGUGGCGGACGGGUGAGGAAUACAUCGGAAUCUACUUUUUCGUGGGGGAUAACGUAGGGAAACUUACGCUAAUACCGCAUACGACCUACGGGUGAAAGCAGGGGAUCUUCGGACCUUGCGCGAUUGAAUGAGCCAAUGUCGGGUUAGCUAGUUGGCGGGGUAAAGGCCCACCAAGGCGACGAUCCGUAGCUGGUCUGAGAGGAUGAUCAGCCACACUGGAACUGAGACACGGUCCAGACUCCUACGGGAGGCAGCAGUGGGGAAUAUUGGACAAUGGGCGCAAGCCUGAUCCAGCCAUACCGCGUGGGUGAAGAAGGCCUUCGGGUUGUAAAGCCCUUUUGUUGGGAAAGAAAAGCAGCAGGUUAAUACCCCGCUGUUCUGACGGUACCCAAAGAAUAAGCACCGGCUAACUUCGUG